UGGCUGUCGUCAGCUCGUGUCGUGAGAUGUUGGGUUAAGUCCCGCAACGAGCGCAACCCUUGUCUUCUGUUGCCAUCGGGUCAAGCCGGGCACUCUGAAGAGACUGCCGGUGACAAACCGGAGGAAGGUGGGGAUGACGUCAAGUCAGCAUGGCCUUUAUGUCUGGGGCCACACACGUGCUACAAUGGCCGGUACAAACCGUCGCGAGCCCGCGAGGGGGAGCUAAUCGGAGAAAACCGGUCUCAGUUCGGAUUGCAGGCUGCAACUCGCCUGCAUGAAGUUGGAAUCGCUAGUAAUCGCGGAUCAGCACGCCGCGGUGAAUACGUUCCCGGGCCUUGUACACACCGCCCGUCACAUCACGAAAGCUGGCUGUACUAGAAGUCGCCGAGCUAACCCGCAAGGGAGGCAGGUGCCUAAGGUAUGGUCAGUGAUUGGGGUGAAGUCGUAACAAGGUAGCCGUAA
Molecule: ribosomal RNA, 462 nt
Filed under: uncultured bacterium
Lineage: Bacteria
Description: bacterial SSU rRNA
Rfam family: Bacterial small subunit ribosomal RNA
Source: RNAcentral